UGCGUAGGGACCAAGCGUUGUUCGGAUUUACUGGGCGUAAAGGGCGCGUAGGCGGCGUGGUAAGUCACUUGUGAAAUCUCUGAGCUUAACUCAGAACGGCCAAGUGAUACUGCUGUGCUAGAGUGCAGAAGGGGCAAUCGGAAUUCUUGGUGUAGCGGUGAAAUGCGUAGAUAUCUGGAGGAACACCGGUGGCGAAGGCGGCAUCCUGGACCGACACUGACGCUGAGGAGCGAAAGCCAGGGGAGCAAACGGG
RNAcentral lists this ribosomal RNA (253 nucleotides) under uncultured bacterium. Its description in RNAcentral is "partial 16S ribosomal RNA". It matches the Rfam family "Bacterial small subunit ribosomal RNA", at positions 524 to 776 of the family's 1533-position model. The record is from RNAcentral.